This 405-nucleotide ribosomal RNA is filed under the name uncultured bacterium. RNAcentral describes it as "partial 16S ribosomal RNA". It matches the Rfam family "Bacterial small subunit ribosomal RNA", at positions 28 to 526 of the family's 1533-position model. The record is from RNAcentral.
GACGAACGCUGGCGGCGUGCUUAACACAUGCAAGUCGAGCGGAGCGGCGAACGGGUGAGUAACGCGUGAGUAACUGCCCCCCUCUCUGGGAUAACAGUUGGAAACGGCUGCUAAUACCGGAUAGUGGGGGAUGACGCGCGUCCUAUCAGCUUGUUGGGGGGGUAUGGGCAUACCAAGGCGGAGACGGGUAGCCGGCCUGGGGGGGGGCCCGGCCACAUUGGGCGACGAGACGGCCCAAACUCCUACGGUGGGCAGCAGGGGGGAAUAGUGCACAAGGGUGCAAACCCUGAUGCAGCAACGCCGCGUGCGGGAUGACGGCCUUCGGGUUGUAAACCGCUUUCAGCCAUGACGCGGUAGUGGCAGAAGAAGCACCGGCUAACUACGUGCCAGCAGCCGCGGUAAUAC